CUCGGUGGCGAUGGCGGAGGGGUCACACCCGUUCCCUUUCCGAACACGGAAGUUAAGCCCUCCAGCGCCGAUGGUACUGCUCGGGAGACUGGGUGGGAGAGUAGGACGCCGCCGGGG
This 117-nucleotide ribosomal RNA is filed under the name Gemmatimonadota bacterium. The record is from RNAcentral. Lineage: Bacteria; Pseudomonadati; Gemmatimonadota.